Molecule: ribosomal RNA, 253 nt
Filed under: uncultured bacterium
Lineage: Bacteria
Description: partial 16S ribosomal RNA
Rfam family: Bacterial small subunit ribosomal RNA
Source: RNAcentral
UACAGAGGGUGCAAGCGUUAAUCGGAUUUACUGGGCGUAAAGGGUGCGUAGGUGGUCGUGUAAGUCUGGUGUGAAAUCCCGGGGCUCAACCUCGGAAUUGCAUUAGAUACUGCGAGACUAGAGUUCGGUAGAGGGCGGCGGAAUUCCCGGUGUAGCGGUGAAAUGCGUAGAUAUCGGGAGGAACAUCAAUGGCGAAGGCAGCCGCCUGGGCCUGAACUGACACUGAGGCACGAAAGCGUGGGUAGCAAACAGG